UAAGUUAUUAAGGGCGCACGGUGGAUGCCUUGGCACUAGAAGCCGAUGAAGGACGUUACUAACGACGAUAUGCUUUGGGGAGCUGUAAGUAAGCUUUGAUCCAGAGAUUUCCGAAUGGGGAAACCCAGCAUGAGUUAUGUCAUGUUAUCGAUAUGUGAAUACAUAGCAUAUCAGAAGGCACACCCGGAGAACUGAAACAUCUUAGUACCCGGAGGAAGAGAAAGAAAAUUCGAUUCCCUUAGUAGCGGCGAGCGAAACGGGAAGAGCCCAAACCAACAAGCUUGCUUGUUGGGGUUGUAGGACACUCUGUACGGAGUUACAAAGGACGACAUUAGACGAAUCAUCUGGAAAGAUGAAUCAAAGAAGGUAAUAAUCCUGUAGUCGAAAAUGUUGUCUCUCUUGAGUGGAUCCUGAGUACGACGGAGCACGUGAAAUUCCGUCGGAAUCUGGGAGGACCAUCUCCUAAGGCUAAAUACUCUCUAGUGACCGAUAGUGAACCAGUACCGUGAGGGAAAGGUGAAAAGCACCCCGGAAGGGGAGUGAAAUAGAACCUGAAACCGUGUGCUUACAAGUAGUCAGAGCCCGUUAAUGGGUGAUGGCGUGCCUUUUGUAGAAUGAACCGGCGAGUUACGAUUUGAUGCAAGGUUAAGCAGUAAAUGUGGAGCCGUAGCGAAAGCGAGUCUGAAUAGGGCGUUUAGUAUUUGGUCGUAGACCCGAAACCAGGUGAUCUACCCUUGGUCAGGUUGAAGUUCAGGUAACACUGAAUGGAGGACCGAACCGACUUACGUUGAAAAGUGAGCGGAUGAACUGAGGGUAGCGGAGAAAUUCCAAUCGAACCUGGAGAUAGCUGGUUCUCUCCGAAAUAGCUUUAGGGCUAGCCUCAAGUGAUGAUUAUUGGAGGUAGAGCACUGUUUGGACGAGGGGCCCCUCUCGGGUUACCGAAUUCAGACAAACUCCGAAUGCCAAUUAAUUUAACUUGGGAGUCAGAACAUGGGUGAUAAGGUCCGUGUUCGAAAGGGAAACAGCCCAGACCACCAGCUAAGGUCCCAAAAUAUAUGUUAAGUGGAAAAGGAUGUGGCGUUGCCCAGACAACUAGGAUGUUGGCUUAGAAGCAGCCAUCAUUUAAAGAGUGCGUAAUAGCUCACUAGUCGAGUGACACUGCGCCGAAAAUGUACCGGGGCUAAACAUAUUACCGAAGCUGUGGAUUGUCCUUUGGACAAUGGUAGGAGAGCGUUCUAAGGGCGUUGAAGCAUGAUCGUAAGGACAUGUGGAGCGCUUAGAAGUGAGAAUGCCGGUGUGAGUAGCGAAAGACGGGUGAGAAUCCCGUCCACCGAUUGACUAAGGUUUCCAGAGGAAGGCUCGUCCGCUCUGGGUUAGUCGGGUCCUAAGCUGAGGCCGACAGGCGUAGGCGAUGGAUAACAGGUUGAUAUUCCUGUACCACCUAUAAUCGUUUUAAUCGAUGGGGGGACGCAGUAGGAUAGGCGAAGCGUGCGAUUGGAUUGCACGUCUAAGCAGUAAGGCUGAGUAUUAGGCAAAUCCGGUACUCGUUAAGGCUGAGCUGUGAUGGGGAGAAGACAUUGUGUCUUCGAGUCGUUGAUUUCACACUGCCGAGAAAAGCCUCUAGAUAGAAAAUAGGUGCCCGUACCGCAAACCGACACAGGUAGUCAAGAUGAGAAUUCUAAGGUGAGCGAGCGAACUCUCGUUAAGGAACUCGGCAAAAUGACCCCGUAACUUCGGGAGAAGGGGUGCUCUUUAGGGUUAACGCCCAGAAGAGCCGCAGUGAAUAGGCCCAAGCGACUGUUUAUCAAAAACACAGGUCUCUGCUAAACCGUAAGGUGAUGUAUAGGGGCUGACGCCUGCCCGGUGCUGGAAGGUUAAGAGGAGUGGUUAGCUUCUGCGAAGCUACGAAUCGAAGCCCCAGUAAACGGCGGCCGUAACUAUAACGGUCCUAAGGUAGCGAAAUUCCUUGUCGGGUAAGUUCCGACCCGCACGAAAGGCGUAACGAUUUGGGCACUGUCUCAACGAGAGACUCGGUGAAAUCAUAGUACCUGUGAAGAUGCAGGUUACCCGCGACAGGACGGAAAGACCCCGUGGAGCUUUACUGUAGCCUGAUAUUGAAAUUCGGCACAGCUUGUACAGGAUAGGUAGGAGCCUUUGAAACGUGAGCGCUAGCUUACGUGGAGGCGCUGGUGGGAUACUACCCUAGCUGUGUUGGCUUUCUAACCCGCACCACUUAUCGUGGUGGGAGACAGUGUCAGGCGGGCAGUUUGACUGGGGCGGUCGCCUCCUAAAAGGUAACGGAGGCGCUCAAAGGUUCCCUCAGAAUGGUUGGAAAUCAUUCAUAGAGUGUAAAGGCAUAAGGGAGCUUGACUGCGAGACCUACAAGUCGAGCAGGGUCGAAAGACGGACUUAGUGAUC
This 2418-nucleotide ribosomal RNA is filed under the name Staphylococcus aureus subsp. aureus CIGC340D. Its description in RNAcentral is "bacterial LSU rRNA". It matches the Rfam family "Bacterial large subunit ribosomal RNA", at positions 4 to 2420 of the family's 2925-position model. Lineage: Bacteria; Bacillati; Bacillota; Bacilli; Caryophanales; Staphylococcaceae. The record is from RNAcentral.